This 252-nucleotide ribosomal RNA is filed under the name uncultured bacterium. Its description in RNAcentral is "partial 16S ribosomal RNA". It matches the Rfam family "Bacterial small subunit ribosomal RNA", at positions 524 to 776 of the family's 1533-position model. The record is from RNAcentral.
UACGGAGGAUGCGAGCGUUAUCCGGAUUUAUUGGGUUUAAAGGGUGCGUAGGCGGUCCGGAAAGUCAGCGGUAAAAGCCCGGGGCUCAACCCCGGCGAGCCGUUGAAACUGUCGGACUAGAGACGGCGAGAAGUACGCGGAAUGCGCGGUGUAGCGGUGAAAUGCAUAGAUAUCGCGCAGAACUCCGAUUGCGAAGGCAGCGUACCGGCGCCGGACUGACGCUGAGGCACGAAAGCGUGGGUAUCGAACAGG